AGUUUUUCCCGAACGAAGCGCACCCUCGCCUUUAGUUGCCAUCACGUUUGGGUGGGCACUCUAAAGGAACUGCCGGUGACAAGCCGGAGGAAGGUGGGGAUGACGUCAAGUCCUCAUGGCCCUUAUGUCCUGGGCUACACACGUGCUACAAUGGCGGUGACAGUGGGAAGCCAGGUGGUGACACCGAGCCGAUCUCAAAAAGCCGUCUCAGUUCGGAUUGCACUCUGCAACUCGAGUGCAUGAAGGUGGAAUCGCUAGUAAUCGCGGAUCAGCAUGCCGCGGUGAAUACGUUCCCGGGA
RNAcentral lists this ribosomal RNA (299 nucleotides) under Gluconacetobacter sp. Wu1-2. RNAcentral's name for it is "partial 16S ribosomal RNA". It matches the Rfam family "Bacterial small subunit ribosomal RNA", at positions 1079 to 1378 of the family's 1533-position model. Lineage: Bacteria; Pseudomonadati; Pseudomonadota; Alphaproteobacteria; Acetobacterales; Acetobacteraceae. The record is from RNAcentral.